CCUACGGGAGGCAGCAGUGAGGAAUAUUGGUCAAUGGGCGCGAGCCUGAACCAGCCAAGUAGCGUGAAGGAUGACUGCCCUACGGGUUGUAAACAUCUUUUGUAAAGGAAUAAAGUGAGGCACGAGUGCCUUUUUGUAUGUACUUUAUGAAUAAGGAUCGGCUCACUCCGUGCCAGCAGCCGCGGUAAUAUGGUGGAUCCGAGCGUUAUCCGGAUUUAUUGGGUUUAAAGGGAGCGUAGGUGGGUUGUUAAGUCGGAUGUGAAAGGUUGGGGCUCAACCGUAAAAUUGCAAUUGAUACUGGCUGCCUUGAGUACAGUUGAGGUAGGCGGAAUUCGUGGUGUAGCGGUGAAAUGCGUAGAGAUCACGAAGAACUCCGAUGGCGAAGGCAGCUUACUAAACUGCCACUGACAUUGAUGCGCGAAAGUGUGGGUAUCAAACAGGAUUAGAUACCCCUGUAGUC
This 460-nucleotide ribosomal RNA is filed under the name uncultured bacterium. RNAcentral's name for it is "partial 16S ribosomal RNA". It matches the Rfam family "Bacterial small subunit ribosomal RNA", at positions 338 to 795 of the family's 1533-position model. The record is from RNAcentral.